UCCGGUUGAUCCUGCCGGACCCUACUGCUAUCGGGGUGGGACUAAGACAUGCGAGUCGAGCGUCUCUAGCUAUGUUGAGACGCGGCAGACGGCUCAGUAACACGUGGCUAACCUACCCUCAGGACAGGGACAAACCCGGGAAACUGGGGCUAAUACCAGAUAGGCGAGGAUGCCUGGAAUGGUUUUUCGCUCAAAGGACCUUGGAAACAUGCUUUCAAGUCGCCUGAGGAUGGGCCCGCGUCCGAUCAGGUUGUUGGUGAGGUAACGGCUCACCAAGCCUAUAACCGGUACGGGCCGUGAGAGCGGUAGCCCGGAGAUGGGUACUGAGACAAGGACCCAGGCCCUACGGGGCGCAGCAGUCGCGAAAACUCCGCAAUGCACGAAAGUGUGACGGGGCUACCCCGAGUGCUCUCCGCUGGAGGAAAGCUUUUUCUCUGGUUUAACAAGCCAGGGGAAUAAGGAGAGGGCAAGACUGGUGUCAGCCGCCGCGGUAAUACCAGCUCUCCGAGUGGUAGGGAUGAUUAUUGGGCCUAAAGCGUCCGUAGCCGGCUUAGCAAGUCUCCUGUUAAAUUCAGCGACCUAAUCGUUGAGCCGCGGGAGAUACUACUAGGCUAGGAGGCGGGAGAGGUCAACGGUACUUCCGGGGUAGGGGUGAAAUCCUAUAAUCCCGGGAGGACCACCAGUGGCGAAGGCUGUUGACUAGAACGCGCUCGACGGUGAGGGACGAAAGCUGGGGGAGCGAACCGGAUUAGAUACCCGGGUAGUCCCAGCUGUAAACGAUGCGAGCUAGGUGUUGGGGUGGCUACGUGCCACUUCAGUGCCGCAGGGAAGCCAUUAAGCUCGCCGCCUGGGGAGUACGGCCGCAAGGCUGAAACUUAAAGGAAUUGGCGGGGGAGCAC
Molecule: ribosomal RNA, 899 nt
Filed under: uncultured archaeon
Lineage: Archaea
Description: bacterial SSU rRNA
Rfam family: Archaeal small subunit ribosomal RNA
Source: RNAcentral